CGUUUCAGAUUGAACGCUGGCGGAAUGCUUUACACAUGCAAGUCGAACGGCAGCAUAGGUGCUUGCACCUGAUGGCGAGUGGCGAACGGGUGAGUAAUACAUCGGAACGUGCCCAGUCGUGGGGGAUAACGUAGCGAAAGUUACGCUAAUACCGCAUACGAUCUACGGAUGAAAGCGGGGGACCGUAAGGCCUCGCGCGAUUGGAGCGGCCGAUGUUAGAUUAGGUAGUUGGUGGGGUAAAAGCUCACCAAGCCGACGAUCUAUAGCUGGUCUGAGAGGAUGAUCAGCCACACUGGGACUGAGACACGGCCCAGACUCCUACGGGAGGCAGCAGUGGGGAAUUUUGGACAAUGGGCGCAAGCCUGAUCCAGCCAUUCCGCGUGCAGGACGAAGGCCUUCGGGUUGUAAACUGCUUUUGUACAGAACGAAAAGCCUUGGGUUAAUACCCUGAGGUCAUGACGGUACUGUAAGAAUAAGCACCGGCUAACUACGUG
RNAcentral lists this ribosomal RNA (494 nucleotides) under uncultured bacterium. RNAcentral's name for it is "bacterial SSU rRNA". It matches the Rfam family "Bacterial small subunit ribosomal RNA", at positions 20 to 507 of the family's 1533-position model. The record is from RNAcentral.